CCUACGGGUGGCAGCAGUGAGGAAUAUUGGUCAAUGGACGAGAGUCUGAACCAGCCAAGUAGCGUGAAGGAUGACUGCCCUAUGGGUUGUAAACUUCUUUUAUAUGGGAAUAAAACGUUCCACGUGUGGGAUUUUGUAUGUACCAUAUGAAUAAGGAUCGGCUAACUCCGUGCCAGCAGCCGCGGUAAUACGGAGGAUCCGAGCGUUAUCCGGAUUUAUUGGGUUUAAAGGGAGCGUAGGUGGAUUGUUAAGUCAGUUGUGAAAGUCUGCGGCUCAACCGUAAAAUUGCAGUUGAAACUGGCAGUCUUGAGUACAGUAGAGGUGGGCGGAAUUCGUGGUGUAGCGGUGAAAUGCUUAGAUAUCACGAAGAACUCCGAUUGCGAAGGCAGUUCACUGGACUGCAACUGACACUGAGGCGCGAAAGUGUGGGUAUCAAACAGGAUUAGAUACCCUUGUAGUC
Molecule: ribosomal RNA, 460 nt
Filed under: uncultured bacterium
Lineage: Bacteria
Description: partial 16S ribosomal RNA
Rfam family: Bacterial small subunit ribosomal RNA
Source: RNAcentral